UCUCAACAAGAUAUAUCCGUGUUUUCAGUGUACUGGGGGGAGGUUAAAGAAAGCUGCUUGAACAAUGAGUAGAAGUUCGUCUUGUUAGCAAAGCCAAAGCUCAGCGAGUAUAAACAAAUUAAUGCAUAUGCCGGUUCGCCUGAGGUAAUGUGUGUCUAUCUUCUAUAUCUAUUUGGAUACGUUCCUGGGAGUGGGUGUUAUAUCGAGGGGUUACAGGAAUUUACGUGGAGGGGCUGAAUAUGAGUUCACGGGCCCAUUUCGCCGGAACUCUCAUGAAAGAUGUAUGUAUGUAUGUGCACUGGUAACUCAACUUAUCAACGCGCCGAGCCGCAAACUUUUCUCAUCUACUUAACGCAGAUAAGCGGCUGCCUUUUCGACAUGUUUGGCUUCUAAUUUGCCCUGCCGCAGAAACACAUUCAUAGACCCAACUGAUGGCGUUAACUUAAUUUUCAGCCAAAACUCUACUGGAGUCCGUAAAGAGGGAAAAGUAAAGAAAAAAGAUGAGCCAACAUUCCAACGGGGGUCGCCCUUUUUCUGACUUCUCUUGUGUGAAAUAAAAUUAACUAAAUACGCUCACGAGUAACAUUCAUAAUAAACAUUAAGCAGCAAGGGCGAAAAAAGUCGAAUAAAUAUAAAAAAUAAUAUUUGCCAGACGACUCCUUUUUGCGAUUACGAUGCGCCGGCAGUGUGGCCAGUGUUUUUCGGCUUCGUCGGGCUGUGGGAUCGGGUAAAAUUAUGGCAUAAGUUACUUAGAAGUAAGCUGGUUUCCUGCUUCUGCUCCCCGAAUCUUCACCACCACCAUUCACAUCCAGCCACCACCCACUUUGCAGCCCCCGAUGGCAUCAACUUGGCUACACUUUACUUUUAUGUGGCGAGCUCGGAAUGUACUUGCUGGCGAAAUAAAGAUACAGAUACAUAGAUACGCAGAUACGCAGAGAGUGCCCAGAUACAAGCACAUUUGUAGCGAUAAGAGUCAUAAAGUUAUCUUGAAAGAAUGUUGCCAAAUGCCUCACCAAGAGUAUUAAAAGUCAAGAAGGAAACGCAACGCGGCCACAAGUCGAAGGACUCGUUCGACUUGGAGGGGGCACAAAUAGAACUAUGACAAGGACGUAACUUUUAGCACUCCCAUCAGGCAUUCCCCGUUGGAUCGGGCUUCUGGGGUUCAGCAGCAAGUCAAUUACGCACUGCCAGCCAAGUUUCGCGCUUUGUUUCUCCCGGAUUUGUCAGUUUAAUGAAUGCUUUCCCAGCGAAUCGACGUAUCUGCUAAAUGGCGGAGGGGAGUCCGUGGGAUUUAUUCGCACUGACCGACAGGAGCAAGAGAACUCGGUAUGGGGACAUAUGUAUGCUAUUACUAGCAAACCCUGAGAAACCUAUCAAUUAGUGAAGUAGAGAUAAUCAUUUGAAAUUACAGUGGCUUGUGAAGGAAUGCAUGUGACCAUUAAUAAGUUAAUUGCACAUCAAAA
Molecule: long non-coding RNA, 1463 nt
Organism: Drosophila yakuba
Lineage: Eukaryota; Metazoa; Arthropoda; Insecta; Diptera; Drosophilidae
Exons: 3
Source: RefSeq, a predicted model, not a curated record